This 584-nucleotide ribosomal RNA is filed under the name uncultured bacterium. Its description in RNAcentral is "partial 16S ribosomal RNA". It matches the Rfam family "Bacterial small subunit ribosomal RNA", at positions 355 to 1375 of the family's 1533-position model. The record is from RNAcentral.
UGGGGAAUUUUGGACAAUGGGCGAAAGCCUGAUCCAGCAAUGCCGCGUGUGUGAAGAAGGCCUUCGGGUUGUAAAGCACUUUUGUCCGGAAAGAAAUCCUUGGCUCUAAUACAGUCGGGGGAUGACGGUACCGGAAGAAUAAGCACCGGCUAACUACGUGCCAGCAGCCGCGGUAAUACGUAGGGUGCAAGCGUUAAUCGGAAUUACUGGGCGUAAAGCGUGCGCAGGCGGUUUGCUAAGACCGAUGUGAAAUCCCCGGGCUCAACCUGGGAACUGCAUUGGUGACUGGCAGGCUAGAGUAUGGCAGAGGGGGGUAGAAUUCCACGUGUAGCAGUGAAGUGCGUAGAGAUGUGGAGGAAUACCGAUGGCGAAGGCAGCCCCCUGGGCCAAUACUGACGCUCAUGCACGAAAGCGUGGGGAGCAAACAGGAUUAGAUACCCUGGUAGUCCACGCCCUAAACGAUGUCAACUAGUUGUUGGGGAUCAUUUCCUUAGUAACGUAGCUAACGCGUGAAGUUGACCGCCUGGGGAGUACGGUCGCAAGAUUAAAACUCAAAUGAAUUGACGGGGUCAUAGCUGUUUCCU